RNAcentral lists this ribosomal RNA (468 nucleotides) under uncultured bacterium. RNAcentral describes it as "partial 16S ribosomal RNA". It matches the Rfam family "Bacterial small subunit ribosomal RNA", at positions 28 to 507 of the family's 1533-position model. The record is from RNAcentral.
GACGAACGCUGGCGGCGUGCUUAACACAUGCAAGUCGAACGGAAAGGCCCUGCUUUUGUGGGGUGCUCGAGUGGCGAACGGGUGAGUAACACGUGAGUAACCUGCCCUUGACUUUGGGAUAACUUCAGGAAACUGGGGCUAAUACCGGAUAGGAGCUCCUGCUGCAUGGUGGGGGUUGGAAAGUUUCGGCGGUUGGGGAUGGACUCGCGGCUUAUCAGCUUGUUGGUGGGGUAGUGGCUUACCAAGGCUUUGACGGGUAGCCGGCCUGAGAGGGUGACCGGCCACAUUGGGACUGAGAUACGGCCCAGACUCCUACGGGAGGCAGCAGUGGGGAAUAUGGCACAAUGGGCGGAAGCCUGAUGCAGCAACGCCGCGUGCGGGAUGACGGCCUUCGGGUUGUAAACCGAUUUCGCCUGUGACGAAGAGUGAGUGACGGUAAUGGGUAAAGAAGCACCGGCUAACUACGUG